This 253-nucleotide ribosomal RNA is filed under the name uncultured bacterium. Its description in RNAcentral is "partial 16S ribosomal RNA". It matches the Rfam family "Bacterial small subunit ribosomal RNA", at positions 524 to 776 of the family's 1533-position model. The record is from RNAcentral.
UACGAAGGGGGCUAGCGUUGCUCGGAAUCACUGGGCGUAAAGGGUGCGUAGGCGGGUCUUUAAGUCAGGGGUGAAAUCCUGGAGCUCAACUCCAGAACUGCCUUUGAUACUGAAGAUCUUGAGUCCGGGAGAGGUGAGUGGAACUGCGAGUGUAGAGGUGAAAUUCGUAGAUAUUCGCAAGAACACCAGUGGCGAAGGCGGCUCACUGGCCCGGUACUGACGCUGAGGCGCGAAAGCGUGGGGAGCAAACGGG